This is a non-coding RNA of Methanococcoides burtonii DSM 6242, 111 nucleotides long. NCBI's taxonomy places the organism in Archaea, Methanobacteriati, Methanobacteriota, Methanomicrobia, Methanosarcinales, Methanosarcinaceae. The record is from Rfam.
UAUCCCUUCCAUUUGGGAUAAUCCUACUAUGAUAUGCGUCAAUGGUAACGUUGGGGUGUAAAGCUCAUAGGACAAUGUGGAGAAAUUCGGAAGUCUAAUCUGAAUCAUCUG